Molecule: long non-coding RNA, 782 nt
Filed under: Danio rerio (zebrafish)
Lineage: Eukaryota; Metazoa; Chordata; Actinopteri; Cypriniformes; Danionidae
Description: si:ch211-280c4.5 (ENSDARG00000097450.3)
Source: RNAcentral
CACUCGUCACCUAGCAACAACCAAAUAAAAGCGCCAGCAUUCAGUUGCUUCACGGUUUCUUGCAUUAGCCGAGGCGUCCUCACACUCUCGCACACAUAUAAACGUGUCUUUGCCAUCAUUAUGCAAAUAUGGACGCAAGAUAUAACCUCACACCCGAAAUGAAUACACAAGAUGACUACUUUUGGUGUGGAAAAUGGUUUGAAGACAGAGGCUCAGAAAUGUGCCACCUCUCUCACAAUAGCCGGAGAGGCCUAUCAUUUCACGGUGUGUUAGGAGAGGCUGGAAACGCUCUCUGGCGGGCGUUUGUCCGGAGGGCCUGAUAUCACACACACGCGGAAUGAUAACUCUCCGAAAAAAGACAAAUCUCCUGCUGAUCACACGCUAAAGGGAAUAGCCUGGAACAAGGGAGAUAAAAGAGAAAUCUCCCUAUACCUUCACAUUUGCUUAAUGUUGGCUGUAGCUGCUGAAGCUCAACGCUGGGCCUUAUCCAGGCGGUGCGAUUAAUCCCUCACAGCACGUCAUCUCUACCAUCACUUCCGCCCUGUUCAACAACACACACACACGUCAGGUCAGAUACAAGUUACAGCAUAUACCCUGCAUGGGCAAAACAAAAAGCAUUGUAUAAAUGUUAAGCCUAGAGAAAAUGUUGCCAUUUUAGCUCAAAGAUUGUAGCUUGCACAUUUGAUGGAGUAUAGUGGCGUCAUUUUUUUUUCAACUCCAGAACUUCAGUCAAACAUGGUCUUGUUUUAGAGUUCUCUUCUUUUAAAGUUAUUUUUUGUCAU